This 293-nucleotide ribosomal RNA is filed under the name uncultured bacterium. Its description in RNAcentral is "partial 16S ribosomal RNA". The record is from RNAcentral.
GGACUACCCGGGUAUCUAAUCCUGUUUGCUACCCACGCUUUCGCUCUUCAGCGUCAGUCACGGCCCAGAGCGGCGCCUUCGCCACUGGUGUUCCUCCUGAUAUCUGCGCAUUUCACCGCUACACCAGGAAUUCCCCGCUCCCCUACCGCACUCGAGUCACAGCAGUAUCGGGUGGCGGCUCUGGGUUGAGCCCAGAGUUUUCACACCCGACUUACCGAACCGCCUACGAGCCCUUUACGCCCAAUAAAUCCGGACAACGCUUGGUGCCUACGUGUUACCGCGGCUGCUGGCAC